CCGGGAGGGGCCCGCCCGGCGACGGGGCCAGAGCGGGGACUGCCCGCCACGUCCUUCCUGCGCUGGAGCGGGCAGAAUUGCGUUUGUGUGAGAGAUAAAGGACUUCUUGCAGGAAAGGAUGUCUCUUAUGAGGUCACAAGACAAAGGGAAGCUCUUCACAGAACUGGACUAAAAAGUGAUCGAUUAGAGAGGACAGUGUAUACA
This is a long non-coding RNA of Malaclemys terrapin pileata, 204 nucleotides long. RefSeq lists it as uncharacterized. NCBI's taxonomy places the organism in Eukaryota, Metazoa, Chordata, Testudines, Emydidae. The record is from RefSeq and is a predicted model, not a curated record. The transcript has 3 exons.